RNAcentral lists this ribosomal RNA (1445 nucleotides) under Bacillus thuringiensis. RNAcentral's name for it is "bacterial SSU rRNA". It matches the Rfam family "Bacterial small subunit ribosomal RNA". The record is from RNAcentral. Lineage: Bacteria; Bacillati; Bacillota; Bacilli; Caryophanales; Bacillaceae.
GCGGCUACCUAUACAUGCAGUCGAGCGAAUGGAUUAAGAGCUUGCUCUUAUGAAGUUAGCGGCGGACGGGUGAGUAACACGUGGGUAACCUGCCCAUAAGACUGGGAUAACUCCGGGAAACCGGGGCUAAUACCGGAUAACAUUUUGAACUGCAUGGUUCGAAAUUGAAAGGCGGCUUCGGCUGUCACUUAUGGAUGGACCCGCGUCGCAUUAGCUAGUUGGUGAGGUAACGGCUCACCAAGGCAACGAUGCGUAGCCGACCUGAGAGGGUGAUCGGCCACACCGGCACUGAGACACGGCCCAGACUCCUACGGGAGGCAGCAGUAGGGAAUCUUCAGCAAUGAACGAAAGUCUGACGGAGCAACGCCGCGGGAGUGAUGAAGGCUUUCCGGUCGUAAAACUCUGUGGUUAGGGAAGAACAAGUGCUAGUUGAAUAAGCUGGCACCUUGACGGUACCUUAACCAGAAAGCCACGGCUAACUACGUGCCAGCAGCCGCGGUAAUACGUAGGUGGCAAGCGUUAUCCGGAAUUAUUGGGCGUAAAGCGCGCGCAGGUGGUUUCUUAAGUCUGAUGUGAAAGCCCACGGCUCAACCGUGGAGGGUCAUUGGAAACUGGGAGACUUGAGUGCAGAAGAGGAAAGUGGAAUUCCAUGUGUAGCGGUGAAAUGCGUAGAGAUAUGGAGGAACACCAGUGGCGAAGGCGACUCUCUGGUCUGUAACUGACACUGAGGCGCGAAAGCGUGGGGAGCAAACAGGAUCAGAUACGCCGGCACUCCACGACGUAAACGAUCACUGCUAGGUGUUAGAGGCUUUCCGCCCUUUAGUGCUGAAGUUAACGCGUUAAGCACUCCGCCUGGGGAGUACGGCCGCAAGGCUGAAACUCAAAGGAAUUGACGGGGGCCCGCACAAGCGGUGGAGCAUGUGGUUUAAUUCGAAGCAACGCGAAGAACCUUACCAGGUCUUGACAUCCUCUGAAAACCCUAGAGAUAGGGCUUCUCCUUCGGGAGCAGAGUGACAGGUGGUGCAUGGUUGUCGUCAGCUCGUGUCGUGAGAUGUUGGGUUAAGUCCCGCAACGAGCGCAACCCUUGAUCUUAGUUGCCAUCAUUAAGUUGGGCACUCUAAGGUGACUGCCGGUGACAAACCGGAGGAAGGUGGGGAUGACGUCAAAUCAUCAUGCCCCUUAUGACCUGGGCUACACACGUGCUACAAUGGACGGUACAAAGAGCUGCAAGACCGCGAGGUGGAGCUAAUCUCAUAAAACCGUUCUCAGUUCGGAUUGUAGGCUGCAACUCGCCUACAUGAAGCUGGAAUCGCUAGUAAUCGCGGAUCAGCAUGCCGCGGUGAAUACGUUCCCGGGCCUUGUACACACCGCCCGUCACACCACGAGAGUUUGUAACACCCGAAGUCGGUGGGGUAACCUUUUUGGAGCCAGCCGCCUAAGGUGAC